UCUCACAAUAGCGUCAAAGCUUAACUAUUAUAGUAAAAAUUCCGUAAGUUAAUUAAAACCCUGCCCCAGUACUGAAUAAUUCUAUACUACUAUAGAAAAUCUAAUGUUAAAACUAGUAACAUGAGAAAACUCCUCUCUUAAAUGCAAACAUAAGUCAAAACGGACAAUACACUGACAAUUAACAGCCAAACUAAAGUGACACCCUUCCCAAGAAAACCUCACUAAAUAUCCUGUUAACCUAACACAAGAGCAUCUAAAGAAAGACCAAAAGAAAAAGAAGGAACUCGGCAAAACUGAUUCCGCCUGUUUACCAAAAACAUCGCCUCUUGAAAACCAUAGGAGGUCUAGCCUGCCCAGUGACAUGUUCAACGGCCGCGGUAUCCUAACCGUGCAAAGGUAGCGUAAUCACCUGUUUUUUAAUUAAAGACCUGUAUGAAAGGCACCACGAGAAUCACACUGUCUCCUUUUUCUGGUCGGUGAAACUAAUCUCCCCGUGAAAAAGCGGGAAUAAAAAUGCAAGACGAGAAGACCCUUUGGAACUUAAGACAAAAUAAUAAUGCAAACUUCCCCCCACCUACACCCACUAGCACUCUACUUACAAGUCUUUGGUUGGGGCAACCACGGAGUAAAAACUAACCUCCAAGCUGGACGGAAACUUCCUAAACAAAAAGCCACAACUUUAUGUAUCAAUAAACUGACACAUUUGACCCAAUAUUUUGAUUAACGAACUAAGCUACCCCAGGGAUAACAGCGCAAUCCACUUCAAGAGUUCAUAUCGACAAGUGGGCUUACGACCUCGAUGUUGGAUCAAGGUUCCCUAGUGGUGCAGCCGCUACUAAAGGCUCGUUUGUUCAACGAUUAAAACCUCACGCG
This 873-nucleotide ribosomal RNA is filed under the name Eleutherodactylus maestrensis. RNAcentral's name for it is "partial 16S ribosomal RNA". It matches the Rfam family "Bacterial large subunit ribosomal RNA", at positions 1480 to 2602 of the family's 2925-position model. Lineage: Eukaryota; Metazoa; Chordata; Amphibia; Anura; Eleutherodactylidae. The record is from RNAcentral.